Molecule: long non-coding RNA, 308 nt
Filed under: Vitis vinifera (wine grape)
Lineage: Eukaryota; Viridiplantae; Streptophyta; Magnoliopsida; Vitales; Vitaceae
Description: long non-coding RNA (VVIN_LNC004120)
Source: RNAcentral
UGAUCAUGGUUCUAUUCCCCAUCUUCAAAGUGAAAAUUGGGCCAUAUUUUGGCCUAAGCUCUCUCACAUACUGAAAAAAUUGCUUCCCAGAGCGAGCAAAUUGGAAGAGGUUUCCAACAAUAGGCCAACCAGGGGGUCCCGGAGGAAGGUUUAGCUUCUUUGACUUGGUUUUACGUGACAGCAAGACGAUCAGACCUGAUAUGAGGAAGGCUAAAGCAGUGAAGAAGAUGUGGUAGUAAGGAGAAUAAGUCGAAGAAGCAGCAGCAAAAGCAGGAGCCAUGGAGAUGGUGUUGAGACAGAGAAAGAGA